RNAcentral lists this ribosomal RNA (241 nucleotides) under uncultured bacterium. Its description in RNAcentral is "partial 16S ribosomal RNA". It matches the Rfam family "Bacterial small subunit ribosomal RNA", at positions 536 to 776 of the family's 1533-position model. The record is from RNAcentral.
UAGCGUUGCUCGGAAUCACUGGGCGUAAAGCGCACGCAGGCGGCUUCUUAAGUCAGGGGUGAAAUCCUGGAGCUCAACUCCAGAACUGCCUUUGAUACUGGGAAGCUUGAGUCCGGAAGAGGUGAGUGGAACUCCGAGUGUAGAGGUGAAAUUCGUAGAUAUUCGGAAGAACACCAGUGGCGAAGGCGGCUCACUGGUCCGGUACUGACGCUGAGGUGCGAAAGCGUGGGGAGCAAACAGG